UACAGAGGUCUCAAGCGUUGUUCGGAUUCAUUGGGCGUAAAGGGUGCGUAGGUGGCGGGGUAAGUUGGAUGUGAAAUCCCGGGGCUCAACCCCGGAACUGCAUUCAAUACUGCCUUGCUAGAGCACUGGAGAGGAGAUUGGAAUUUACGGUGUAGCAGUGAAAUGCGUAGAUAUCGUAAGGAAGACCAGUGGCGAAGGCGGAUCUCUGGACAGUUACUGACACUGAGGCACGAAGGCCAGGGGAGCAAACGGG
This 253-nucleotide ribosomal RNA is filed under the name uncultured bacterium. Its description in RNAcentral is "partial 16S ribosomal RNA". It matches the Rfam family "Bacterial small subunit ribosomal RNA", at positions 524 to 776 of the family's 1533-position model. The record is from RNAcentral.